AGUCUUUUCAAAGCACAGGACUGCGUCUCUCACCACCACAGCCAGGCAGCUGCUCUUCUAGCUUCUGAUUAUCAUCCCCAAGCCAUGCCUUGGUCAUUUCUGAGUUGAACAAAAUCAUGGAAGAUGUGACUGUCAAGUGGAGACAUCGAGCCUUUCUGCUGCCCUCAGCAUCUCCCAGCAGCCUCUCUGGUUCAAGACUUUCUUUGUCUCUAGAAGUUGCUCCAGGAUCCCAGACUGUAUUGCUAAGCCAUUGCCAACGAUUUGCACUUCUGUCGUCCCUUUCAUCUGGGAACCACAAGGCCAUCUGAAACUUCUCUGAUCAGCUUCAGAGGAGUCCCCUCUAUCAGUUAAGAAUUGUACUCUACACUGAGAAGCAGGUAUUGCAUUUGUUGGUCGCAAGGAUAAUCCCCCAAAUUCCCACAGCAUCCAGAUGAAGUUGUCUACUGUCCACAGGAUGUUCAGCAAAGACACCGGGAUGUAUUUGCCUGAAGAAGAACGGAAGAGAACUGAAAAGAGACAUCUAAGGACUGAGUUCACACCGGGCCAUUGGGUGGACUCAGCCUCCCGGAAGUCAGCUCCCGGAAGUCUGAUGGCUGUGCGCCAGUGCUCUGCAUUUAAGCCAAGCUUGGCUACAAACCUGAUAAAAAUGAAAUUCAGUCUUCUGGUCACUGCUGUGUUCCUACUUUUCACCAUCCAGGAUACACUUUCUAAACCAGGGGAUGACGUUGUCAUCGGGCCAUUAAUACCUGAACUGCAUUUUAUUUCACAGAGGGCCUCAGGUACUCACAUAGCCCUACAGUGUGGAAUCAAUGUCUGAGAAACCAGGAAGAAAAUCUGACCCAAAGCUAGGUAAGUGCCAGUUUCUGAUGCAGGAAGAAUAAAGUUAAAUCCACCCGGGCUCAGUGAAGGAUGACAUGUCACUCUUUAAGGUUUCCUCUGUCCGAUUGCUGUAUGAACCCAUAUCCAGUAGUGUUAUAGUAGAUGUCUUCCCAGGAGGAAGAUUCCUCAUCUUCAACCCAAGUUUGCUUUUGUUCAAUGCAUUCACACUGUAGGAUCCUUCCUGAGAUUUGCUGUAAUAGAUUUGACUUGUGCUUCCAUGAGGUACCAUCACUUGUCUUAAAGGGUGGAAGGAAGCCAAUGGAUGGUAACCUGAAUGUGGGAGGGAAAACUCCAUUUUCCUCUGAAGGCGGAGCCAAGUGCAAAGUGAGAGCAUUGUAUUUUGGGUCUAAUGCACCUCUUGUUCAGCUCGGUGCAGCCUGAAUCUACAUACCAUUUUUCUUAGUGGAAAGGCAGAGAGAGAAGCUGAUACCUUCAGGAACAGCGAAUGCCACACUUGUUUCUGCUCCCCCUGGAUUUAUCAUGGAAGGUGAUCUAAUCCAUCCAUUCCCAGAAGAGAGUGUGUUGUAGCACUGGGUAUUUAUUCUCAGCAUGCCAAAGUUCUGUGCCCACAGAAAAGGUCCACCUCGCCUACUGUCAAGACUUUGGGUAGAUGUGUGGAUGCUCAGAUGCCUUGCUCCUUUCUCCUUUCUCAUGCAUGUUUCUGGCUUUGUGUAUUCCCUGGAUUUUGCCCAUGUCCUUCAUCACUGUGGGCUCCAAGAUACACUUUACUUGGUCUGUGAAAAACAGCUGACUCAACUGAAAACCUCCAUGGACUUCUUCACUAUUGAUUCAGGGUGGACUCUACUUGCAUUGGUGAAAUUCCAGCCUGGGUUACUUCUGUCCAGUCUUAAUACUGAAAUUCUAGAGAGUAGCCACCCAAUCUGGAAGCCACGACAAAACUCUUGAUGGACGUGGGGAACUAGGUCAAUAUGUCACAUCCACAUCAUCCUAGAUCAGAUUGCCUGGGGACACAAUGACCAAGCUUUCCCAUCCAUAGAAGACAUGCUUCAGGCUGUCCCUACAGGCCCCCUCCAGCUCUUUAAGAGAGAUCCUUAGGGAGGCCCUGGUCUUUGUCAGAGACUGGGGUUGGUGGAGGGUGGCUAAUCUGUAAGUCUCCAGAAAACUAUGUGUCUGUCCUAUACAAUCUCAGCAAGCUGUUGGCCCAAAGUCUUGUGUUUUGCACUAACCAUGUAUCUCUCACUUCAUAUUAAACAAUACCCUCAACUUU
This 2107-nucleotide long non-coding RNA is filed under the name Mus musculus (house mouse). Its description in RNAcentral is "predicted gene 28564". The record is from RNAcentral. Lineage: Eukaryota; Metazoa; Chordata; Mammalia; Rodentia; Muridae.